UAGGGAAUCUUCCGCAAUGGGCGAAAGCUUGACGGAGCAACGCCGCGUGAGUGAUGAAGGUCUUCGGAUCGUAAAACUCUGUUAUUAGGGAAGAACAAAUGUGUAAGUAACUAUGCACGUCUUGACGGUACUUAACCAGAAAGGGACGGCUAACUACGUGCCAGCAGCUGCGGUAAUACGUAGGUCCCGAGCGUUGUCCGGAUUUAUUGGGCGUAAAGCGAGCGCAGGCGGUUAGAAAAGUCUGAAGUGAAAGGCAGUGGCUCAACCAUUGUAGGCUUUGGAAACUGUUUAACUUGAGUGCAGAAGGGGAGAGUGGAAUUCCAUGUGUAACGGUGAAAUGCGUAGAUAUAUGGAGGAACACCGGUGGCGAAAGCGGCUCUCUGGUCUGUAACUGACGCUGAGGCUCGAAAGCGUGGGGAGCGAACAGG
RNAcentral lists this ribosomal RNA (428 nucleotides) under Bacteroidota bacterium. Its description in RNAcentral is "Bacteroidetes bacterium partial 16S ribosomal RNA". It matches the Rfam family "Bacterial small subunit ribosomal RNA", at positions 355 to 776 of the family's 1533-position model. The record is from RNAcentral. Lineage: Bacteria; Pseudomonadati; Bacteroidota.